This 274-nucleotide ribosomal RNA is filed under the name uncultured bacterium. Its description in RNAcentral is "partial 16S ribosomal RNA". It matches the Rfam family "Bacterial small subunit ribosomal RNA", at positions 523 to 796 of the family's 1533-position model. The record is from RNAcentral.
AUACGGAGGGGGCUAGCGUUGUUCGGAAUUACUGGGCGUAAAGCGUACGUAGGCGGACUGAUCAGUUGGGGGUGAAAUCCCAGGGCUUAACCCUGGAACUGCCUUCAAUACUGUCAGUCUUGAGUUUGGGAGAGGUGAGUGGAAUUCCUAGUGUAGAGGUGAAAUUCAUAGAUAUUAGGAGGAACACCAGUGGCGAAGGCGGCUCACUGGCCCAUUACUGACGCUGAGGUACGAAAGCGUGGGGAGCAAGCAGGAUUAGAAACCCCAGUAGUCC